Molecule: long non-coding RNA, 1144 nt
Filed under: Fukomys damarensis (Damara mole-rat)
Lineage: Eukaryota; Metazoa; Chordata; Mammalia; Rodentia; Bathyergidae
Description: lncRNA (ENSFDAG00000024213.1)
Source: RNAcentral
CAGUGACUUGGAAAUUUUUUAUGUGAAUUGCAUCAUUGAUAGCUCUUAUUAUACUUUUGUUAGACAGCAUUGACAUAGAAGCUCAGAGCAGAGACAUCACGGAGAUGGUAACCAGACCUCUGGGGAGGAGAGUGGCUGGCUGGUAUGUCAGUCUCUGUGAUGGUUUGACGUGUGUGGAAAAACUAUGAAAUGGAACCACUGUCCUACCAAGGCUUCAGUGGACCUGGGAUGCUGUCCGUAUUUUGUGAUAGUGGUGAAGAAAGCAGCAUGCUUGUCCUUCUGUGUCACAGCCCCUGGAGUGAGCAGCUAAAGGUAGGUGUAGCGAUUAUCUUGGUUUGCAUUCUUCGUGGCCCCCAUAAUCCCUUCAUAUCUUGUUAGUUAAUUAAUCAAUUCUUCUUUCUUCCACUGUUAGAGUUUCUGAGAGGAAUAUUCUGAAUGGUCUAUGAGGAAUACAAGCCACAUCCUUGGGUUGUCAGAGAGCAAAACACACCUUGGUUUGAAGUUCUACCGCUGUUUCACCCAAUAAGAAAGAAAAAGAAAUAGGUCACUCUCCCUACAAGAUCAGGGAAGGGUACAGAAAGAUCAGCAGAUGAUGUGUCACUGGAUCAGUGUGAGAUAACAUAAAGAGAUGCAGAAAGACUGCCCCGAGCCCUGAACAGUAUCUGAGGGUUCACAGAAGUGCUGAGAGUACACUGGAAUUCCUCAGGCUGCAAGAUUGAGAGUUUCACCCUAGUUAGCUGACUGCAACUGACAUUUAAGAUGUUGGUGGGUGACUGCUGUUAAGAUUUCUAUUUCUUUGGUUACCAGUGUAGUUAAAUACUUGCCCUCUCUUUCUUACUGAGUUUUAGUUCUAUAAAGUUUAUCCUGUUGUUUGCCUGUGUUUCCUCUUAGGGAUGUAGUCAUUUUUUUCAAUUAACUUAUCUUUUACAUUUUAGUGACAAUAGUAUAGCUGUUUGCCUGGGGCUCUGUGAUAAUUUUUCUAGUUUAUAAUUUUCUUUUGAUUUUGCUAUCACAAAUAAGUUUUAUGUUUUUAAAAGUAUUUUUUCAUUACAUUUCCUUUAUUGUUAUAUGUGCUUCUUGGUCUACUGGAAUUCAUAUUUUUCCUUUUAUGAAUGUUGAGUAGUUAAAAUUAUGUCUUCCUUCC